This 505-nucleotide ribosomal RNA is filed under the name uncultured bacterium. Its description in RNAcentral is "partial 16S ribosomal RNA". It matches the Rfam family "Bacterial small subunit ribosomal RNA", at positions 28 to 523 of the family's 1533-position model. The record is from RNAcentral.
GAUGAACGCUAGCUACAGGCUUAACACAUGCAGGUCGAGGGGCAUCAGGAAGAAAGCUUGCUUUCUUUGCUGGCGACCGGCGCACGGGUGAGUAACACGUAUCCAACCUGCCCUUUACUCGGGGAUAGCCUUUCGAAAGAAAGAUUAAUACCCGAUAGCAUAAUGAUUCCGCAUGGUUUCAUUAUUAAAGGAUUCCGGUAAAGGAUGGGUGUGCGUUCCAUUAGGUUGUUGGUGAGGUAACGGCUCACCAAGACUUCGAUGGAUAGGGGUUCUGAGAGGAAGGUCCCCCACAUUGGAACUGAGACACGGUCCAAACUCCUACGGGAGGCAGCAGUGAGGAAUAUUGGUCAAUGGGCGUUAGCCUGAACCAGCCAAGUAGCGUGAAGGAUGAAGGCUCUAUGGGUCGUAAACUUCUUUUAUAUAAGAAUAAAGUGCAGUAUGUAUACUGUUUUGUAUGUAUUAUAUGAAUAAGGAUCGGCUAACUCCGUGCCAGCAGCCGCAGUAA